Molecule: long non-coding RNA, 3594 nt
Filed under: Homo sapiens (human)
Lineage: Eukaryota; Metazoa; Chordata; Mammalia; Primates; Hominidae
Description: HOXB cluster antisense RNA 2 (HOXB-AS2)
Source: RNAcentral
CUUAAAGAACAGGUAAAAAUUUAAAUCUAGAUUGGAGGGACAGGGAGGAAGAGGUGAGCAAAGGCAAGGAAGGGCGGUGAAGUUCACAGCUCCCCCCAUACCCCACUAGUGAACUAUUAUGCUAAUAUGAGAAGUAGUAUUUGGAGGCUGAGUCAAAGGCAGGCCUGGCCCGGGGGUGAGGGUGCCGGGUGCCCCUCUGCACUCAUUCGCAAUUGGAACACCAGGACUUUUUUAGAAAGUAGUUCUGGGUCUCCAACCCUCACACUCUGGCUCCCUCCUUCUGAGUCUCCAGCCCCGGCUUCUUCCCUCCACUACACCCUCUCUAUUCCUCCCAAAUCUCCCUCCAGUCUCCAGGCCCAGUCUCUAACCAAGGGAGAGGGAAAGACCAGAACUUAAAAAAAAAAAAAAAAAAAAAACACCCCUCCCCCUUUUUCUUUUUGAGAACAGACAACAAGCGGUGAGUGAUGAUUUUAAAAACUCUGAACAUCUUGCAGGGGGAGGAGGGUUGAGAAAAGGGUGACAAAAGGAGGACUCUGUGUUUUAGUUUGAGCUCCAGACUGGCUGGCAGUAGACGGGCUGAAAGAACUUCAUGGAUAAGUUUCUGUUAUGAUUCUCACCUCCGAAUAGGCAGAAGGGGCUAAGAGGUGAUAAGGACAUUUGUACUUCUAAGAAGAGAAGAACUAGCAGGGUCGCUUAAUUUUAAAUGCACUGGCAGAAGAGAUGGAAGAUGGUUAUUAUUAUUAUUCAGAACAACCCUGUUUGUUUCUCUCUGCCCUGCAAGAUUUAUGACUCUUGGCACAAGUGAGGAAGGCCACAAAAGCUAAAGUUUUCUUAGGGUGUGUUUGAGCAGGGCAGGAAAAGGCAAGGAGGAGGCCUGUAGGAGGAAGACAGGAGCCAAAAAUGUAGGUGUCUGCAGAUUUGGGACAGGGGGUGGGGAAUAGUCAUUCCGGGAGGAAGGAAAAGACAAAAAGAGCACCAGGACAUUUCCCAAAGCAGGAGUGUUUGCAACUCUGCCUAACUGCUGACUCGGAGCUAGGGGAUGAAAUAGAAAGCUGACUCUUUUCUCUAAAGGCAGCUUGGAAAACUGGUCCUCUUAACUUCAUGUAAGGCACUACCCUGUGAUUUCCUGGUUAGAAUACUUGGCUUUUGCCUUCUCCCAUCUGGAUGCACCAGAAGAGGGAACGGGACUGGGGACAACAAAGUAUUAACGAAGAUUUCAAAGCUGGGAGUUGUAAAGUGGGAAUUGCUAAUGAAGAAGGCUCUUGGCAUUUGGAUCCCCAUCUCCAGCUCUCCAAUAAGCCAGAGCAGGAGGGAACAAAGGGGCACCCGGAAGGGAGAAGAGGAGACUCGCAUAGACACUGCUCAGCAAUAGUGGGGAUCAAAAGAAGAAAAAGGUCGCUGCAGUGGAAGAAGAAAAAUCCAAGCUGUACUUUUUCCCCACCCCACGUGUGGGGGCGCUGCCCUCUCCCCAGCUGAGCCUGUGAAGGGGUGGCAGGACAAAAAGGGCAGCCACAAGGGUCUGCGAAGUCCACUCGAUGACCACGGAGGCCGCCUGAACAUGCUAAUGAGGGGAUGGCGGUGCUGCCAGCGAGUUGGGAGCCUCAGGCAGGUGGGCUCCUUGGUGGUGAUAGAUCCCAAUCUGAAUCAGGGCUCCCGCCUCACCUAGAAGCUCAGCCUUAGCCUGGCAAACCCCACCCCCAGCAAGUGUUGAGACAAAGGUGGGCAGAGCAGAGAAGGCAGAGGAAGGGAGGCUGCAAAUCCUGGGCAGCUUGGGGGCUGCAGGGGGUGCUGGGAAAGGGAGGGAGAAGCAGGAAAAGAGGAACGGGCCCAGUCCCUGAGGUUCAGCGGGCCUCUCCUGACAGACUGGAUGUUUCUCUCCCAGUGACCUCUGUUUAGCAGACAAUAACUCAGUGGAUUAAUGACCAAUCAGCGAAAGGCCUUCCGAAUUGCCUCCAAAUAUAAAACUCCGAAGUCAGAAUGGGACAGAGCCAGAGUCUGGGCCUGCCAGCUCUUUUGUUUUUUUUUUCUCUCUCAAAUUAGUGUUUGGGGCUAGGCUUUAGGAAGUGGAUUAUCUGCCCAGUGUCUCAGAUUUCCAGAGCCCCAAAGAUGAGGUUGUUUCCCAUCUCUUCCCAUCUUCUUCUUCCCUCCUUCCCCGGAAUUCAUAUUCCAAACCACACUUCCCAAGGCAGCCUGGAAACCUCCCCUCCCCUGCUAGCCUCUUCACAUCCCUGAUCCUGCAAGAAAUUUCCUUGCUCACAACCAUGCAAUUGAGAAGCCACCACUCCUUUGGAACUGGGGGAGGAGCUGGAAAAUAAAAGCAAGUAUAGAGUGGGAGUCUUCCACCAUGCAGGCCUUCUGUCCUGGCUACCCUAGAGGAGACCCGGUAGAGUGCUGUGGCACCCUGUGUGUGCUUCCUCCCAAGAAGCCAGGGCUCAGAGGCCCAGGGUUGGGGUGAGGCUGAGAAGGGAGGCACCUGCUAUCACAGAAUCUAAACUCUGAAACCACUGUUCAGUCCCUGGGCUGGGGUAGGGGGCACCUUAAAAACCACACUCUGUUGGGAGGCCGAGGCAGGCGAUCACCUGAGGUUGGGAGUUCGAGACCAGCCUGACCAACAUGGCGAAACCGUGUCUCCACUAAAAAUACAAAAUUAGCCAGGUGUGGUGGCGCAUGCCUGUAGUCCCAGCUACUCGGGAGGCUGAGGCAGGAGAAUCGCUUGAACCCAGGAGGCAGAGGUUGUGGUGAGUGGAGAUUGCACCAUUGCACUCCAGCCUGGGCAACAAGAGCGAAACUCCGUCUCAAAACACACACACACACACACACACACACACACACACACACACACACUGAACAAUGACAGCCUUAGCCCAGUGCCUGGCAGGGAAAGACUCUUGCUCAGUAAGGCCCAGCCCUUCUUUACUUAGCCCUUCUCCAAAUGCCAAUCUCAACCCAACCCAGCUAGCUGGCCCCUCACCACUUCCUUCUAGUUCCACUGCUCUCCUCAGGGCUACUCCUCAGCUGAGAAUAAGGGCACCUUCAGAAAGAGGAAUAGUCCAGAUUCCAGUGGAUUUCCUAGAGCCAGACUGAGUAAGCAUCCACUGCUCUGGGUGUAUGUAAACUCUGAAUAUUGCAAAUAAACAUGCAGUAACUUCUAUACCCAGAUGCCCACAGAGCUCCAGGACACACAAGGGAGUGCCUCCCAUGCACUGUCCUGCUGAGGAUGGGUACACACAGAGGUGCCCAAUUUCAGAACAGGAGAGAAAUCAGGAAGUGUCCAGUCCAACUCUUGCCAUUGUUACAGAUCAGGAAACUGAGGCCCAGAGCAAGGAAGUGAUUUGUCUAGAGUCAUACUUGGGAUAGGCUUGGGAGUUGGAAGGCCUGAAUUUCAGAUGUUCCAGCUUGGCUAUGUGACAUGAGGCAGGGCACUCCUUGGGCCUGAGUGUCCCCUUCUGUAAAGCCUGGGCAUGUGUAUGGAGGGAAGGGGUUUAGCUAAAUGAUCUCUAAGGUCUCUUUUUGGACUGAAUGUUAGUGAUUCUCCAUGUGCUGAUGUAAAAGUGAGUGACAAGAAGUAAUAAACUGAGUUCAGACAAUAACGGG